GUAUGAAAGAGAUCCCUGUGGUAUUUUCGGUGAUAAACAUUGUAUUUUCUUUUGGUUUUAACUUUGUAAACUAUACGAUCUAAGUGCCUUGGUUCCAAGACUAUUUACUCUCAAAAUCUCUGUUUUCAUCACACUUCUGAUGUUGCCGAUUUGAAUGUCUACGAAGACUGUGUUAUGAAGAAAUAUAUAUUUCCAUUUUUGUCAUGUACACUUGUUCUAUUGUAGCCUAUCUGUCUAGGUCAACGGAGCGAUUUUCCUCCAGUGGAAGAGGCUGUAGCGUAGGCAGUGGUAUAGUCUACGUUUUGAUGAUAUAAGAAGUUGGGGUUGGGGUUGGGGUUGAUGAUCCACAUGAUGGUGAUGGACCAGGACAGCUCUGGACCUCCUGACUGGCAGCUCCAUCCUCAACCUCCCUUCCUGUCCUUCACACAUGUGCAGGCAGAGAGGCAGUUUUCUGAAGGAUGGUUAAUGUCAGUACCAACAUGUUGUGAUGGAGGCUUCCACCUGAACUGAACACAGAAACUUGCACACAGUGAUGGAAGCAGUCGUUCCUGUUCAGCAUUGAUAUGCCGGUAAUGGGUUUGAUGAACCACAGCAUGGUGAUGGGCAAUCAGCAUCAGGACCAGGGCCGCUCACAAGGAGAACCUCCUGCCUUGCCUCUUCAUCCUCAACCUCCAAUCUUCCUGCUCUUCACACAUGUGCAGGCACAGAGCCAGUUUUCAGAGGGAGGGCUGAUGACACCAGCAACUUCGGAUCUGAACCUGAUCAACCCAGCACCAACCACUGUGCCGCUCCUCCUCUGCCAACUGCACCACAUGGCUCCACCAUCUCAAAAAGGCACAGACACUACUCCACUUCCUGCGAAGGAUGAGAGAAGAGCCGACCUCCCCACAACGGCACUCACCACCUUCUACAGGGGUGUCAUUGAGAGCAUCCUGACCAGCAGCCUCUCUGUCUGGCAUGGCAGCCGUCAAGCUGAAGACUAGAAGGCAGUACAGAGAGUGGUGAGGACAGCAGAAAAGCUCAUAAGAUCACCCCUACCUGUUCUCCCUACUACCAUCAGGGAAGCGCUAGCCCAGCAUGCGGUGCUGCAAAAGCACACUGGGAAACGGCUUCUUUCCACAAGCCAUCAGACUCCUCAACGCACUGAAGAAAACCACAUGAAUAACCAAGGACACGGGAGAAUAUUCCAUGAACACUUC
Engraulis encrasicolus (European anchovy) is the source of this 1199-nucleotide long non-coding RNA. RefSeq lists it as uncharacterized. NCBI's taxonomy places the organism in Eukaryota, Metazoa, Chordata, Actinopteri, Clupeiformes, Engraulidae. The transcript is spliced from 5 exons. The record is from RefSeq and is a predicted model, not a curated record.